Molecule: ribosomal RNA, 488 nt
Filed under: uncultured bacterium
Lineage: Bacteria
Description: bacterial SSU rRNA
Rfam family: Bacterial small subunit ribosomal RNA
Source: RNAcentral
CGGGGUGUAAACCACUGUCAGGAGGGACGAAAGAGCGCAUGGUGAAUAAUCAUGGGCAGUGACGGUACCUUCAAAGGAAGCACCGGCUAACUCUGUGCCAGCAGCCGCGGUAAUACAGAGGGUGCAAGCGUUGUUCGGAAUUACUGGGCGUAAAGCGCGCGCAGGCGGAUCCUGUAAGUCUGGAGUGAAAUUUCACGGCUCAACCGUGAAGCUGCUUCGGAUACUGCGGAUCUGGAGAUCGGUAGAGGUCGGUGGAAUUACAGGUGUAGCGGUGGAAUGCGUAGAUAUCUGUAAGAACACCCGUGGCGAAGGCGGCCGACUGGGCCGAAUCUGACGCUGAGGCGCGAAAGCGUGGGGAGCAAACAGGAUUAGAUACCCUGGUAGUCCACGCCGUAAACGAUGGGCACUAGGUGCCGGGGGGAGCGACCCCUUCGGUGCCGCAGCUAACGCGAUAAGUGCCCCGCCUGGGGAGUACGGCCGCAAGGCUG